AUGCGUCUUCUUGCUCCAGCAUUCAAGUUCCAUUUCAAGGGAGGACGACGUACCAUGAUACUUUCUGUUUUGUCGAGCCCUGCUUUGGUCUCUGGUUUGAUGGUUGUACGUGCUAAAAAUCCGGUACAUUCCGUUUUGUUUCCCAUCCUAGUCUUUUGCGACACUUCUGGUUUACUUAUUUUGUUAGGUCUCGACUUCUCCGCUAUGAUCUCCCCAGUAGUUCAUAUAGGAGCUAUGCUGUUUCAUUCCUAUUCGUGGUUAUGA
This 264-nucleotide ribosomal RNA is filed under the name Triticum aestivum (bread wheat). RNAcentral's name for it is "partial small subunit ribosomal RNA". Lineage: Eukaryota; Viridiplantae; Streptophyta; Magnoliopsida; Poales; Poaceae. The record is from RNAcentral.